Molecule: long non-coding RNA, 5858 nt
Filed under: Hordeum vulgare
Lineage: Eukaryota; Viridiplantae; Streptophyta; Magnoliopsida; Poales; Poaceae
Description: long non-coding RNA (HVUL_LNC000573)
Source: RNAcentral
UUAGCUAUAAAACUGAAAGGCUGUGGAACCAAAAUCCUCUCACAAACUUUAGGUAAGAAAAAUUCAGCAAUAAUUAGAGAUGAUAAUUAACCUAUGUGGAACUCUGUAGUGAAGCUUUGCCUGCUGUAGCGUACCAAUUCUGUUGUCGCACCAGCAGCUUGCAGUGCUGCUGAAUAUGCAGAGUCUUUCUCCAAACAGUAUUUACUUCAACCAGACUUAAGAGUUCCGUAGAAAAAAGGCUCCUGAACACAUAAGUUUGCAUCAUUAGAACUAUAAAUCUAUAAGAAGCAUUGUAAUGGAGUAAUCACUUCAUCAAAUUAACAACCAUCCUAAUUUUGCAUUUUUUUCCUGAUGAUACAUCAUCCACGUAUUUCUCUUACAAUAGACAGUAUGUUGGUAGAAACUAGGGUUCUACCGGCCCUCUGCCUUAGGUUAUAAGGGUAGGAGGGAGGUUGGAGGAGACGAGGACGCUGCGGCCGCAGUGAGGAGGCGGCGGCCAGUAGAGGAGGCGGUGGCUAGAGUUAGGGUUCCGGCUCCUUUGGGAGCCGGGCAAUAGAAUUGUAGAGGAGCCGGGCAAUAGAAUUGUCUUAUUGCUUGAUUCCAAAAGGUGUCUUACAACUUGUUUAUAUAAGCUCUAAGGUAAUAGAAAUAAGGAAACUUGGGCUAANNNNNNNNNNNNNNNNNNNNNNNNNNNNNNNNNNNNNNNNNNNNNNNNNNNNNNNNNNNNNNNNNNNNNNNNNNNNNNNNNNNNNNNNNNNNNNNNNNNNNNNNNNNNNNNNNNNNNNNNNNNNNNNNNNNNNNNNNNNNNNNNNNNNNNNNNNNNNNNNNNNNNNNNNNNNNNNNNNNNNNNNNNNNNNNNNNNNNNNNNNNNNNNNNNNNNNNNNNNNNNNNNNNNNNNNNNNNNNNUAAGGAAACUUGGGCUAAGCCCCUAACUUAACUAAGAUAACUUGGGCUAAGCCCUUAACUAAACGGGCCCAUUGGACCUCCUCCGGCUAUAAGUCACGCCGGUCAUAACAUCUCUCCCCGCCUGCGCAAACAACUCGUCCUCGAGCUGGAAGUCUGGUAAAUGUUGGUGGAACUCGUCAAGCUGCUCCCAAGUGGCAUCCUCCUCCGGAAGACCUUGCCACUGGAUCAACAAGUGCCACACUCCGUGACGUAGCUGGAUCUGCAACACCUUUGCCAGUCCUGGAAGGAGUCGUCCGUCGGAGGUAGGAGGUAGCACCGGUGUUGCUGCCGGCGGUUCUCCAUGGAAGGGCUUCAGCAACCCCACAUGGAACACGUCAUGGAUGCGGGCCCUGGCCGGAAGCUGCAGGCAGUAGGCCACCUUGCCUAUGCGCUCCACCACAGAAAAUGUCCCUGCGUAGUGAGGGCCCAGCUUGCGCUUAGCGCGCGGGUCCAGGGACUGAGUGGAGCGGUGAAGGAGGCGUAGCCACACCCAGUCGCCCAUCGCAAACUCUGGGUCGCGGUGAUGAUCGUCGUAGUAGCGCUUGGACAGUUGCUGAGCCUGGAGAAGGCGUUGGCACACCUCUGCAAGCAUCUCGUCCCGGCUGCGAAGCAGGUCGCCCGCCGCCUCAGUCCGAGCUGUCUCAGGGUCAACCGGCAGGAUAGGCGGGGGCGGUGGGCCAUAGACCACCUCGAACGGCGUGGCGCGCAUGGCGGAGUGAUAAGAGGUGUUUUAGCAGUACUCCGCCCAUGCCAGCCAAUCCACCCAUGCACGGGGACGGUCACCUGUAACACAACACAAAUACAUGGUGAUCACCUUGUUCACCACCUCAGACUGGCCGUCCGUCUGAGGGUCGAAGGCCGUACUCAGGCGGAGCUUCACGCCCGUCAGGCGGAAGAGAUCACCCUAGACAUGCCCCGUGAACACCGGGUCUUGGUCGCUGACGAUCGAAGCCGGAAACCCGUGGAGACGGACAAUUCCGUUGAAGAAGGCACGAGCCACGGAUGCGGCCGUGUAGGAUGGCCGAGCGCGAUGAAGUGGGCGUACUUGGAGAAGCAGUCGACCACCGUGAGGAUAACGGACUUGCCGCCCACCUUUGGGAGGCCCUUGAUGAAGUCCAUGGAGAUAUCGGCCCAGACUUGAGAGGGCACCUCCAAGGGCUGCAGUAGCCCAGCCGGACGCAGUGUCUUCGUCUUGUUACGCUGGCACGUAACACAAGACCGCACUCAGUCCCGGACCAACGCCCGAUCACCGGGGAUGUAGAAAUCAGCGCGGAGACGGUGGAGGGUCUUCUGCACACCCUUGUGUCCGGCCGAGUGGGCCAGCAGCAGGACCUGGUGACGCAGAUCACCGUGAUCCGGCACAAAGAGGCGACACCCAUGUAGGAGCAACCCAUCCGCCCAGCGCCACGGCUCGGCCAGGUCGCCGGCUGCGAGGCGCUGCCGAAGAAGCUGAGCGUCCGGUGCGUCGGAGGUGGCCCGGCGGAUGUCGCGAAGGAGGGCCCCGAGCGGAUGCAGAGAGCCGCCCCGUCGGAGUCGCCGGUGUCCGAGUCGUGGUCGGCGUUGCGGCGGGGCAGGGCGUCGGCCACGGUGUUAAGGCGACCCGGACGAUACUCCACGGUGAAGUCGAAGCCAAAAAGCUUGCUGAUCCACUGGUGCUGGGGAAUGGUGGACAACCUUUGAUCCAAUAAGAAUUUGAGGCUGUAGUGAUCCAUGUGAAUCCGGAACGACCUCCCCCAAAGAUACGGGCGCCAGUGGCGUAUGGCCUGCACCAAGCCAAUGAGCUCCCUCUCAUAGGCCGCGAUCUUAUGAUGGCGUGCGGCAAAUGGUCUACUGAAGAACGCAAGCGGUCCGUCGCCCUGAUGAAGGACGACGCCGAACCCCACCCCGGAGGCGUCGCAGUCCACCAUGAAUGGCUGGUCGAAAUCGGGCAUCUGAAGGACGGGACCUGUCGUGAGGGCCUGCUUGAGGGCCUCGAACGCCUCCAUGGCCUCCGCAUCCCAGGUGAGGCGUCGCGUCGCAACAGGCGUGUGAGUGGGGACGCGAUGAGGCCGAACUCCUGGAUAAAUUUCCGAUAGUACCCCGCGAGGCCCAGGAAGCCGCGGAGAGCCCGUGGCAAGUGCGGUGUCGGCCAGGCCGCGAUCGCCUCCACCUUGUCGGCGUCCAUAGCCACACCCUCGACCGAGAUGACAUGGCCGAGGUAGGCGACUGAAGGCGUGCCGAACGAGCACUUCGAGCGCUUAAGAUGAAGAUGAUGCGCUCGAAGCUCGUUGAAGACGAUGGCGGCGUGCUGAAGGUGCUCUGCCCAAGAAGCGCUGUAGAUAAGAAUGUCAUCAAAGAAAACGAGCACAAACCGACGCAAGUAGGGUCGGAGGACGUCGUUCAUCAAGGCCUGGAAGGUUGCCGGAGCGCUGGAGAGGCCAAAAGGCAUCACCAAGAACUCAAAGUGGCCGUGAUGAGUCCGAAAUGCCGUCUUCGCGAUAUCGUCCGGAUGCAUCCGCACCUGGUGGUAGUCCGAACGGAGGUCGAGCUUGGUGAAGAAGCGCGCCCCAUGUAGCUCGUCCAAAAGUUCGUCAACGAUUCGGAUAGGAAAUUUGUCCUUGAGCGUUAGGGCGUUCAGGGCACGGUAAUCGAUGCAGAAACGCCACGUGCCGUCCGACUUGUGGACGAGGAGGACCGGCGCCGAAAACGGCGAUGUGGAAAUCCGGAUAAUGCCCAAAGCGAGCAUGAGUGCGUACUGCCGCUCCAGCUCGUCCUUCUGCAACUGGGGGUAGCGGUAGGGGCGCACCGCAACCGGCGCCGUUCCCGGCAGGGAUGAAUGCGGUGGUCAUACGCCCGGGCUGGCGGAAGGCCCUGAGGCUCGUCGAAGAGGUUGCGAUGCUGCUGCAAGAGAUGAUCCAACAGGGGGUGCUCAGGCCCUGUGUUAGUCGCUGCCAGCUGAAGCUGCGGCGACGUUGGGGAGGCGCCACCCACGCCCGCCCACUGGAUGCUGCGACCCAGGCGCCAGAAAGUCAUCGUCAUGGUGUCGAAGUCCCAGAGAAUGGGGCCGAGGGUCCGCAAGAAGUCGACGCCGAGGAUGAAGUCGAAGCAGCCCAGAUCAAUGCCGGCGCACGUGAUGGUGAAGUGCUCGUCGCCGAUGGUGACAGGCACGUCCCGGGCGAUCCCAUGGCACCGGAGGUGGUCACCGUUAGCCACGGUGACCCGGAGUUGCUCCCCGCCCGUCGGCUGCAGCGCUAAGCGGCGCAUCGUCGACUCGGGCAGGAAGUUAUGUGUGGAGCCCGUAUCCAGGAGGGCCACCAGGCGCUCGCCGUUGAUCAUCACCGGCAAGAGCAUAGUCCGCUCGUCUCGGAUGCCCGCGAGCGCGUGGAGGGAUACCACGAGAGCUGUCGCCGAAGCGGGCGCCGGGGCGGCGUCAACCGUAACUGGGCCGGGCAUGUCGCCGGGCCCGUCGGUGGCGGUGUCCUCCUCGACGUGGCCGACUCCAAGUAGAAGAGGCGCGGGCAUACAUGGCCUGGGACGUAUGGCUGGUUGCAGUUAUAGCAAAGCCCCUAGCGACGACGCUUGAGCUGCUCAGUCGGGGUGAGUCGGCGGAAGGCUCGUGGCGCGGCCGGAGCGGGGGCCGCCAUCGGUCCGGGGGCGGCCGCCCUAGGGAUGGUGCUGUCUGGGCCGGCCGGCCUGGCUUCCGUGCGUCGCGAGCCGGAGCCGCCUGCUGAAGGGCCUGCGUGCGGCGCUCGAAGGCUCGGGCGUAAUACAUGGCCGUCUGGAGGUCCUGUGGUCCGCGGAGCUCGAUGUCCACGCGGAUGUGAUCCGGCAGUCCGUCCACAAAGAGCUCGGCCCGCUGACGAGCCGACACGCCGGGCGCGUGACACGCCAGGGCCUGGAAGCGGUCCGUGAAGUCCUGCACCGUGGAGGUGAAGGGAAGGCGGCCGAGCUCCGCCAGUCGGCUCCCUUGGAUCGGGGCCCCGAAGCGCAGGAGGCAGAGCUCGCGGAAACGCUCCCAAGGGGGCAUGCCGCCCUCGUCAUGUUCCAUUGCGUAGUACCACGUCUGUGCGGCGCCUCGGAGGUGAUACGAAGCGAGCCAGGUCCGUUCACCUUGGUUGAGCCAGUUCAGGGGGUCCUCGGUGCCGUCGUAGGUGGCGAAGUCCAGUUUGGCGAAGCGCGGCGGCGUGUGGUUAGGGCCGCCCUGGUGGUAUGGCUCGUCGGGGCGGAGCAGUGGAGGGGUAUGCGCCGGGUACCCGUCGGGAACGGCGAAGCUGGAGGGCCCUCCGUACUGGGUGUGUGGCGGCGCCGAGGCCGUUGUGUAGACUGGUUGUGAUGAGUCGGUCACCCAGGCCGGUAGCGGCGACGGGUAGGGGGGGAACCGAAGCUGGUUGAGCGGCCAACCCCCGGCGCGGCGGUCGGGCCCGGCCCGGAGGUGGUGGGAGUCGGCUGCAACAACUGUAGGGUCGGCUGCUGUGGCCCCACAACCGAGGGUGGCGGAGGCCGCUGCAGUGGUGGCUGCAUCGGCCAGGCCAGCGCGGCGGUUGCCGCCAGCGGCGGCUGCGGCCAGGGUGGCCAGGACGGGCCGGCGUUGGCUGGUGGUGGCGCGUUCGGCCGCGGCCCGUAGGGCGCGGCCAGGUAUAGCCGGAUGCCCUGGACGGUGGUAGCCAGGUCACGGAUCGCGCCGGUCAGCUCUUUCGGGGUGAGGACGGCAGGAGGCGACGCGGCAGAGGAGGCCGGCGUUGGCAGGUGCGGGCCGCCGGCCGUGGUGAUCAUCAGAGUGGUGGUGGGGGACGACGACACAACGAUGGAGGCGGGCGGCUGUGAUGACAUGAUCGAACCAGAGUCUUGUGAUAUCAAACUGGUAGAAACUAGGGUUGUACCGGCCCUCUGCCUUAGGUUAUAAGGGUAGGAGGGAGGUUGGAGGAGACGAGGAC